Nasonia vitripennis (jewel wasp) is the source of this 1405-nucleotide long non-coding RNA. RefSeq lists it as uncharacterized. The transcript has 2 exons. NCBI's taxonomy places the organism in Eukaryota, Metazoa, Arthropoda, Insecta, Hymenoptera, Pteromalidae. The record is from RefSeq and is a predicted model, not a curated record.
UUAAACACCAAUCCAGCUGUAUCAGCUAUCACUUGUCUAUUGAUAGGAAUUCGAGUUUGUUGUUCAAUCCAUAGCUGUAAUUCACCAAAGAUAUCUACCUUCCAUGGAAAUAUUUCUCUCAACAUGGGGAACACAACAACUUCAUCAGAAUCAGGACGUUUACCUCUUUUCCUUGGAUUCCAUUGCAAAACCACUCGAAACCAUUCAACCAUUUUAUUUAAAAUACUUCUGCAAUAUUAAAAAAUUAUAUAAUCAUUAAUUUUCAGUGCUUACUAAAUCAAAACAUACAAAAAAAAUAUUUAUUAUUUUUUUUUAAUUACUCUGAUAAAUCAUUAGGAUAAAUUAUAUUAUCGUAGAAUUUAAUUUUUUCUCCAAUUUCAAGAGCACAUAUCUGCUCAUAUGUUUUAUUUUGUCUCAUAUAAACUAUCCUGUAAAAUAUGUAUGAAUAUCUAUUAGUAAUUGUCUAUUGUCUAUUGAGUACAUUGAAAUAAUAACAGAAGGUAUAAUUAGUAUUACCACUUUGGUAAAUCUUGUAUAUGUGGUUGAAAAGGUUUGUGUCCACUUAUAACUUCAAAAAAUGUAAUACCUAAACUCCAAUAAUCAACCGAGCAAGUAUACUUUUGUUUCCAAAAAAGUUCUGGGGCAACAUAAUUGAAUGUUCCAACUAGAGAUGCUGUCAUUGUUGUGCUUCCAAGUUCUUUUGCAUAUCCAAGGUCUAUUAAUUUAUAAACAACCUAUGGUUUUACACAAAUUUCUUUAAUAAUUCAAAUAUUUGCACAAUUUAUCUAGUUUAAGUAUGACAUUAUUAUUUACCAUUCCAUUUUUUUCAUGUAGUACAAUAUUAUCAGGUUUUAGAUCUCUGUGAGUUAUAUUAUUAUAAUGUAAAUACAUAACAGCUGAGGAAAUAUCUUUCAUAACUGUUAAGGCGUCAUUUUGUAAUAAUCCACAACUAUUUUCUGGAUUACUCAAUACCUAUUUAAAACAUAUGCUCCUUAUCAAUUUAUAAGAUUUUUCUGAAUAAUGUAGUGUAUGAUUCGUAAAAUUUGAUGAUCAUUUUGAAAAGUAUUUUUAUAAUACUAUGUAUUAGAAAGAAUAAUUGUAAUUCUUUGAUAUAUAAGCAUAAAUGUAAUUAUAUCAAGACAAUACCUUUCGCAAAUCACCUUUAUUACAAAAUUCCAUACAUAGCACUGGUGAAUUUAAGACCAUUUCUGGAGGAACUUGCUCUGAUUUGACAAUAUUUGGAUGAUUGAAGUGUUUCAUAUUUUCAAUCUCUUGUUUCCAUCGCUCCAUCUGCCGAUCUGUUAUACUACCUUUUGGUAACAUGCAUUUCUUUAUGGCUACAAGUUAAAUGUGACAUGUGAAUAAUUCAUAACAAAUAAAACUUAUAUUUAAGACAUUUCACAAA